Small nucleolar RNA from Manis javanica (Malayan pangolin), 100 nucleotides. RefSeq annotates it as small nucleolar RNA SNORA69. Lineage: Eukaryota; Metazoa; Chordata; Mammalia; Pholidota; Manidae. The record is from RefSeq and is a predicted model, not a curated record.
AAAGCAGGUUGCAAUUACAGCGCUUCAUUUUGUGGAAGUACUGACAUUAAUGAUUUUGCCUUUAUGAGGGUAAAAUCGUGACAGAUUGACAUGGACAAUU